Non-coding RNA from Oryctolagus cuniculus (rabbit), 617 nucleotides. The record is from RefSeq and is a predicted model, not a curated record. NCBI's taxonomy places the organism in Eukaryota, Metazoa, Chordata, Mammalia, Lagomorpha, Leporidae.
GGGCACAUAUCGCAUGUGGUAUGUUUGGGAGCUACACGCAGCUAACUGUUGGUCUGUUUUACGUAGCCCCCUCCCCCAGUGCUGUGGAGGAUGGACCCAAGAGGACACGGCUGGGACCAGGACACAGUACAGCUGUUGCUGUGGUACAGGAUCUGGAAGCAUCCACUUCUCUUCUUUGGGAAGACUGGAGUUUACCCAGCUGAGGUCCCACAAAGAGGGGUUAGAGUUGCAGUAACCUGAAGUGGACGUUCCUGAUUCCAGGCCAUGCUGAAUGAAGAAACAUAACGCUGGCACGGCAGAAGAGUCCUCCACAAAUGCUUGGAGAGCCACUGACUGCGGAACCAACGUGCCCUACGUGUGAUUCCGUCGCUGUCACAGGUUGGAAAAUAACAUCUGUGAUUACAAGUGAUUUCUGCCAGUGGAUGGCAGAGACUAGAGUUCGGGCUGUCUCACCCAGGCCUAUGCUCUCGCCCACAACACCCAAGUUCUCUGGGGAUAAGAGCAAGGAUGCCGGCUGACUCUCAGAGGUAAGAGAUCUGGGGCCGGUGCCGUGGCUCAAUAGGCUAAUCCUCCGCCUAGUGGCGCCGGCACACUGGGUUCUAGUCCCGGUUGCCCCU